AUAUUUCAGGUUAAGUCCACCAUGUUCCUUUCCUCAUGCAGCCCUGGUGAGUAAUGGCUGCAAAUAAGUCUCUGGGAGCAGAGUGUGCAGCCUAAGCUUGUCUGGGUUUCCAUGAGGAUCUGUGGAGACUGUU
This is a small nucleolar RNA of Peromyscus maniculatus bairdii (prairie deer mouse), 133 nucleotides long. Its record names the gene SNORA70. It matches the Rfam family "Small nucleolar RNA SNORA70". Rfam says of the family: snoRNA U70 seems to be exclusive to mammals and is a member of the H/ACA class of snoRNA which contain H (ANANNA) and ACA box motifs. H/ACA box snoRNAs are involved in the conversion of uridines to pseudouridines (5-ribosyluracil) a constituent of structural RNAs (transfer, ribosomal, small nuclear, and small nucleolar). Lineage: Eukaryota; Metazoa; Chordata; Mammalia; Rodentia; Cricetidae. The record is from Ensembl.